Pseudoliparis swirei is the source of this 4056-nucleotide long non-coding RNA. RefSeq lists it as uncharacterized. Lineage: Eukaryota; Metazoa; Chordata; Actinopteri; Perciformes; Liparidae. The transcript is spliced from 8 exons. The record is from RefSeq and is a predicted model, not a curated record.
UCCAAGUUUAUUACUAGUUUAAAUGGCUAUAGAAUAUGUUCUGAUCAUGCAUGUUCUAUAAAUGAAGAUAAUAAUCCUGACAACCAUCUUCUUUGGUCAUUUCAGCAAGAGAAUAUGCACCGACGAAGACGCCUAAAUCCAAAGGCUGAUGCCAACUUUUACAUUGAUACUGGAGGGGACAAAGUGGGACUUGACAUCAAAUACAUCAAUGCCUUCAAAGGUCGUGGCAUCUUCACCUCUGCUCUAUUUGAAAAGGGAGACUUUCUGUUGGAAUAUAGAGGUGAAUUAAUAAGCCAGCAAGAAUGUGAACGGAGACAGAGACUUCAUCACGACUGCCUGAAGGUGUUCAUGUUCGAGUUCUAUUUGAAUGGAAAACUAUGGUGUUUUGAUGCAGCAAAAGAGGAUGGGUCACUUGGAAGACUUGUGAACGAUAAUAAUGUCAACCCCAAUGCCAAGAUGAAGUACCUAAACAUACAAGGGAAGCCCCAUCUGUGUUUGUUUGCAACACCAGACAUCAGUCAAGGAGAGGAGGUCACCUAUAAUUAUGGUGACUCGGAUUGGCCGUGGAGAUGCAAGCUUCAGAAAUCUGAAGGAAAGUCUUCGGACGGGGAGCACGGUGAGGGUCCAUCUACAUCCGAGCCUUCUCAGAGUACUCAAAAGGUGUCAACAAGUAAGAGGCAAGAAAAGAGAUCUCCAGGUGCAUCAACUAGUCUGCUCAAAAGAUAUGAAAAGAUGAUAACAGUGAGCUGAUUGAGUCUGCUCUGAGGGACGAAACUGACCAGCUUGAGACCUCUGUGGAUGGCCUGAAUCCAACAUUCACACAACUUGGUCUCCUCAACAGGGUUGAAGAGUGUCAAGCAUCACCUGGUGUGCACAACAAUAUCCUCCUUGGACAAGUAUGUUCAAUGUUUGGGACCUGUAUCCUCCAAGUGGCGUGGCUAUGAAUGCAGAGAUAAGAUAUUUAGUGGAUUGGUACAAAGUGCGUCUUGGGGUAUUAGGUCGGUAUAUUUGCUGUGUUCAAAUGUACAAACCAUUCUAUAAUGAAACACUUAUGACAAAUAAUCCUUAAUUCACAGCAUAGGAUGCUAUAUCAACUAUUUCCAAAAUUGUGAAGUUUUGUUCUGGCAUCAAUCCUCAGAAGAGUUACAAAUGAUAACCAACACCCAUCACAGUUUCUGGAGUGCAUGUCCGAUGAGGAAUGCACACCGGACUCGGAAACACAAGAUGACGACGAUGAUGAUUAUGAUGAUGAUGAUUCCGAUGCAAGCAUCCCCAUUACGCCUCAUCAGUUGAAACCAGGACGGAUUCAAGUGAAACCAGUACUACCUGACGCUGGAGCAUCUCAUGGGUCAGACACAAGCAUCCCAGUCGUCAAAAGAUCGCCCAACUCUUCAAAUCACUUCCAAUGCUGCUGAAACCUCGAGUUACCAACGACUCAACACAGGAAAAGUGUGAAGUUGAACUUAACAGACAACAAGUAACCACAAACGAUUACUGUUAUGUUUAUGGUAAACCACAAAGCAACACUAUCUGUCUCUCACUGUCUUUAUGUCUCUCUAUCGAUCUCUCUCUGUCUCUCUCUCCUCACUGUCUAUGUCUCUCUCUUUGUCCCUUCACUGUUUAUGUCUCUCUUUGUGUCUCUCUCCUCACUGUUUAUGUCUCUGUGUCUGUCUUUAUAUCUCUGUCUCCUUAUUGUCUAUGUCCCUCUGUGUCUGUCUCUAUGUCCCUCUGUCUCCUCAUUAUCUAUGUCUUUCUGUGUCUUUCUCUCCUGACUGUCUACGUCUCGAUGUGUCUGUCUCUUGUCUUUAUAUCUGUCUCUUUAUUGUCUACGUCCCUCUGUGUCUGUCUUUAUGUCUCCCUCUGUCUCCUCAUUGUCUAUGUCUGUCUCUAUGUAUCUCUCUCUCUCUGUCUCCUCCAUGGAUAUGUCUCUCUGUCUGUCUGAUGUCUCUCUCUGUAUCCUUACUUUCUAUGCGUGUCUGUCUGUGUCUUUAUGUCUCUCUCUGUCUCCAAAUUGUUUAUGUCCCUCUGUGUCUGUCUUUAUGUCUCUCUCUGUCUCCUCACUGUCUAUGUCUCUCUAUCUUUAUGUAUGUCUCUCUCUGUCUCCUCACUGUCUCUGUCUCUCUGUCUUUAUGUAUGUCUCUCUGUCUCUGUCUCUCUAUCUUUAUGUAUGUCUCUCUCUCUCUGUCUCCUCACUGUCUCUCUGUCUUUAUGUAUGUCUCUGUCUCCUCACUGUCUCUGUCUCUCUAUCUUUAUGUAUGUCUCUGUCUCUGUCUCUCUGUCUUUAUGUAUGUCUCUCUGUCUCUGUCUCUCUGUCUUUAUGUAUGUCUCUCUCUCUGUCUCCUCUCUAUCUUUAUGUAUGUCUCUCUCUCUCUGUCUCCUCACUGUCUCUGUCUUUAUGUAUGUCUCUCUCUCUGUCUCCUCACUGUCUUUAUGUAUGUCUCUCUCUCUGUCUCCUCACUGUCUCUCUAUCUUUAUGUAUGUCUCUCUCUCUGUCUCCUCACUGUCUAUGUCUCUCUAUCUUUAUGUAUGUCUCUCUCUGUCUCCUCACUGUCUCUGUCUCUCUGUCUUUAUGUAUGUCUCUCUGUCUCCUCACUGUCUGUCUCUCUAUCUUUAUGUAUGUCUCUCUCUCUCUGUCUCCUCACUGUAUCUGUCUCUCUAUCUUUAUGUAUGUCUCUCUCUGUCUCCUCACUGUAUCUGUCUCUCUAUCUUUAUGUAUGUCUCUCUCUGUCUCCUCACUGUAUCUGUCUCUCUGUCUUUAUGUAUGUCUCUCUCUGUCUCCUCACUGUCUCUGUCUCUCUAUCUUUAUGUAUCUCUCUCUCUGUCUCCUCACUGUCUAUGUCUCUCUAUCUUUAUGUAUGUCUCUCUGUCUCCUCACUGUCUAUGUCUCUCUAUCUUUAUGUAUGUCUCUCUCUGUCUCCUCACUGUCUAUGUCUCUCUAUCUUUAUGUAUGUCUCUCUCUGUCUCCUCACUGUCUAUGUCUCUCUAUCUUUAUGUAUCUCUCUCUCUGUCUCCUCACUGUCUAUGUCUCUCUAUCUUUAUGUAUAUCUCUCUCUGUCUCCUCACUGUCUAUGUCUCUCUAUCUUUAUGUAUAUCUCUCUCUGUCUCCUCACUGUCUCUGUCUCUCUAUCUUUAUGUCUCUCUCUCACUGUAUCUGUCUCUCUAUCUUUAUGUCUCUCUCUCUCUGUCUCCUCACUGUCUCUGUCUCUCUAUCUUUAUGUAUGUCUCUCUCUCUGUCUCCUCACUGUCUCUGUCUUUCUAUCUUUAUGUAUGUCUCUCUCUCUGUCUCCUCACUGUAUCUGUCUCUCUAUCUUUAUGUAUGUCUCUCUCUCUGUCUCCUCACUGUAUCUGUCUCUCUAUCUUUAUGUAUGUCUAUCUCUCUCCUCACUGUCUCUGUCUCUCUAUCUUUAUGUAUGUCUCUCUCUGUCUCCUCACUGUCUCUGUCUCUCUGUCUUUAUGUAUGUCUCUCUCUGUCUCCUCACUGUCUAUGUCUCUCUAUCUUUAUGUAUGUCUCUCUCUGUCUCCUCACUGUCUAUGUCUCUCUAUCUUUAUGUAUGUCUCUCUCUGUCUCCUCACUGUCUGUCUCUCUAUCUUUAUGUAUCUCUCUCUGUCUCCUCACUGUCUAUGUCUCUCUAUCUUUAUGUAUAUCUCUCUCUGUCUCCUCACUGUCUCUCUAUCUUUAUGUCUCUCUCUCACUGUAUCUGUCUCUCUGUCUCCUCACUGUCUGUCUCUCUGUCUUUAUGUAUGUCUCUCUCUCUGUCUCCUCUCUGUCUCUCUAUCUUUAUGUAUCUCUCUGUCUCCUCACUGUCUCUGUCUCUCUAUCUUUAUGUGUGUCUCUGUGUCUGUCUCUCUUUCUUUGUGUCUAUGUGUGUCUCUAUCACUGUCUUUGUGUCUCACUCUUUCUCGCUCUGUCAUUCUCUUCGGUUGUUUCUAGCUUUAAAAAGUAUUGUUUACAUCCCACUAUAGGCUUGUUCCUCGAUUGUUUGUAUCUUAAAAAAGUAUUGUUUACUAACCACUAAAGUCUGGAUACAUCAAUAAACUAAAUGAUAAAGCGCCCCA